UGUGGAGGGGGCUUGCCCCCGAUGGGGCCUGCUCAGUCGAUACCUGGGUUGCUGACCCACUGCUAUCGGGGGCAAGCCCCCUCCCAC
RNAcentral lists this unclassified non-coding RNA (87 nucleotides) under Pseudomonas rhodesiae. The record is from RNAcentral. Lineage: Bacteria; Pseudomonadati; Pseudomonadota; Gammaproteobacteria; Pseudomonadales; Pseudomonadaceae.